Molecule: transfer RNA, 77 nt
Filed under: Bacteroidales bacterium
Lineage: Bacteria; Pseudomonadati; Bacteroidota; Bacteroidia; Bacteroidales
Description: tRNA-Leu
Rfam family: tRNA
About the family: Transfer RNA (tRNA) molecules are approximately 80 nucleotides in length.
Source: RNAcentral
GGCAGCGUGACGUAAUUGGCAAACGUGUUCGGCUCAAAACCGAAAUUCUCAGGGUUCGACUCCCUGCGCUGCUACCA